Molecule: ribosomal RNA, 466 nt
Filed under: uncultured bacterium
Lineage: Bacteria
Description: partial 16S ribosomal RNA
Rfam family: Bacterial small subunit ribosomal RNA
Source: RNAcentral
GAUGAACGCUGGCGGCGUGCUUAACACAUGCAAGUCGAACGAUGAAGCCCAGCUUGCUGGGUGGAUUAGUGGCGAACGGGUGAGUAACACGUGAGUAACCUGCCCUUGACUCUGGGAUAAGCCUGGGAAACUGGGUCUAAUACUGGAUAUGACUUCUCAUCGCAUGGUGGGGGGUGGAAAGAUUUAUUGGUCUUGGAUGGACUCGCGGCCUAUCAGCUUGUUGGUGAGGUAAUGGCUCACCAAGGCGACGACGGGUAGCCGGCCUGAGAGGGUGACCGGCCACACUGGGACUGAGACACUGCCCAGACUCCUACGGGAGGCAGCAGUGGGGAAUAUUGCACAAUGGGCGCAAGCCUGAUGCAGCGACGCCGCGUGAGGGAUGACGGCCUUCGGGUUGUAAACCUCUUUCAGUAGGGAAGAAGCGAGAGUGACGGUACCUGCAGAAGAAGCGCCGGCUAACUACGUG